GGUUAAGUUAGAAAGGGCGCACGGUGGAUGCCUUGGCACUAGGAGCCGAAGAAGGACGGGACUAACACCGAUAUGCUUUGGGGAGCUGUACGUAAGCGUUGAUCCAGAGAUUUCCGAAUGGGGGAACCCACUAUCUUUAGUCGGAUAGUAUCCUUACGUGAAUACAUAGCGUGAGGAAGGCAGACCCAGGGAACUGAAACAUCUAAGUACCUGGAGGAAGAGAAAGAAAAAUCGAUUUCCUGAGUAGCGGCGAGCGAAACGGAAAGAGCCCAAACCAAGAAGCUUGCUUCUUGGGGUUGUAGGACACUCUAUACGGAGUUACAAAAGAAAGUUAUAAAUGAAGCGGUCUGGAAAGGCCCGCCAAAGACGGUAACAGCCCGGUAGUUGAAAUGGCUUUCCCUCCAGAGUGGAUCCUGAGUACGGCGGAACACGUGAAAUUCCGUCGGAAUCCGGGAGGACCAUCUCCCAAGGCUAAAUACUCCCUAGUGACCGAUAGUGAACCAGUACCGUGAGGGAAAGGUGAAAAGCACCCCGGAAGGG
Molecule: ribosomal RNA, 540 nt
Filed under: Listeria monocytogenes
Lineage: Bacteria; Bacillati; Bacillota; Bacilli; Caryophanales; Listeriaceae
Description: partial 23S ribosomal RNA
Rfam family: Bacterial large subunit ribosomal RNA
Source: RNAcentral